CGCGGCCUAUCAGUUUGUUGGUGAGGUAAUGGCUCACCAAGGCGAUGACGGGUAGCCGGCCUGAGAGGGCGACCGGCCACACUGGGACUGAGACACGGCCCAGACUCCUACGGGAGGCAGCAGUGGGGAAUAUUGCACAAUGGGCGAAAGCCUGAUGCAGCGACGCCGCGUGGGGGAUGACGGCCUUCGGGUUGUAAACCCCUUUCAGCAGGGAAGAAGCGAAAGUGACGGUACCUGCAGAAGAAGCGCCGGCUAACUACGUGCCAGCAGCCGCGGUAAUACGUAGGGCGCAAGCGUUGUCCGGAAUUAUUGGGCGUAAAGAGCUUGUAGGCGGUUUGUCGCGUCUGCAGUGAAAACUCGAGGCUCAACCUCGGGCGUGCGGUGGGUACGGGCAGACUAGAGUGUGGUAGGGGAGACUGGACUCCUGGUGUAGCGGUGAAAUGCGCAGAUAUCAGGAAGGAACACCGAGUGGCGAAGGCAGGUCUCU
Molecule: ribosomal RNA, 487 nt
Filed under: uncultured bacterium
Lineage: Bacteria
Description: bacterial SSU rRNA
Rfam family: Bacterial small subunit ribosomal RNA
Source: RNAcentral